CCCUUGUGCAUUCUCUCUCUCUAAACAAAAUCUUGGGGAAAAAAAGGAGUCGUGGCAGUAUAGAAGGUUGGGCCUCAUUUUAUGGUGGGCUGAGUAAUUGUCUGUUGUUUCUUUGGGAUCAUUCCUUAGGGUCCAGAGAAGCUUUCAGGAACAUUCCUUUUGGAACCAAACUGUUUAUGCUUUUGAAGUAUUCCAUUGGCUGUCAAGAAUUCUCAUUAACUGAAAAGGUAAUGAAGAAAAAGCCUGUACUUUUGGAGACCUAGAAUCUUACUUAUGCUAAUAAGCUUUUGACUGCGAUUUCGUGGUCCGGUAUUUCCUGCUGGCAUCUUGGUGGUCCCACGGAGCUCCCCACCCUCCAGUGAAGAUGGCUGUCCACAACUACCACCGUUGAAACCAAAGGUAAGUGUUGAAAAAUGCACCUUUUACAUAAAAAAGUAGAAACCAA
Molecule: long non-coding RNA, 445 nt
Organism: Lontra canadensis (Northern American river otter)
Lineage: Eukaryota; Metazoa; Chordata; Mammalia; Carnivora; Mustelidae
Exons: 2
Source: RefSeq, a predicted model, not a curated record